UAUGGUUACUUACAUUUGAUUGCUCAAACGGUAGGGCGCGUAUCGUGCCGAAUGUUCUAGUUCUAUCUAUGCAUGAGGAAAAGAAGUUGUUGAUCGUUGGCUUACUGUGGGCGUGGUGGGAUGCUCGUAACAAAGCAGAUGUGGGGGAGCAGAGGAGGACGACUGAAGAAGUUAUUUACAUAGCACGUUCAGUAAUGCAUCAUGAGGAGACAGUUGCGGACUCGAUGCAGGCAAGAGGCCAGGCUCGGAGCUGGACCCCGCCGCCGCCGGAUGUCUCGAAGAUAAAUGUGGAUGCUGCGUUCUGGAUGGAGGAAUUGGCAGGUGCUUGGGGCUUUGUUAUCCGUGACAGUGAUGCAACAGCAGCCUUGGCAGGGGCAGGGCGUUUGGCGGUGGUGAGCGACGCUCUGUGUUCAGAGACGCAGGCCUACCGUGCAGCUCUUGAAGCCGCGGCAUCCCAGGGUAUGCAGCAUAUUAUUCUGGAGACUGAUUCCCAGAUUUUAGUGAAGGCCCUGCAGACAAAUGAACAUGAUCCGUCUCGAGGAGGUGUGUUGUUCAGGGAAGCAAAGUUUGUCUUAGCUACGAUGCCUAGUUCAUGGUCGAUUGUCCACGUUAUUCGUUCUGGUAACUCUGUAGCUCAUGAUUUGGCUCGUCUUGGUCGUGGUCGAGACCCGGAUCAUCCGAUUGUUUGGAUGCAUCCCCUCCCAGCCGUUUGUAAGCGACUUGCUGGUCCGUGAUUCUACGUUCUUUUUCCUCGACACCUCCUCCCAUAAAGCUGCGCGAUCCAGCUCUCCAAUCUCCCCGUCGUUCUCAAUUCCACCCGAAACUCCGACGCCUCGCGAAAAAUCCCCCAAACCCCCGCUCCGCCGCAGGCAACAACCGGCGAGGAUCCCAUGACGCCGGCGCACACCUCCCGCAAGCGCGGCCCGCCGGCUCCACCUCCACCUCCACCCGCGGUCCGCCCCGCCCCGCCCGUCAAGCUCCCACCGCCGGGCUUCGUCACCGACCGCGCGGAGGCCGCGGCGCGCGUGGAGCGCCUGCUGCGCUACCAGUUCCGCGACCGCGCCCUCCUUGAGGAGGCGCUCACGCACCAGUCCUUCUCCGACACCGUGACCUCCUACCAGCGGCUCGAGUUCGUCGGGGACGCCGCGCUCGGCCUCGCCUUCACCAACUUCCACUACCUCACGAAUCCCACCCUCGGACCCGGCGCGCUAUCCACGCUCCGCGCCGCUAACGUCUCCACCGAGAAACUCGCGCGCGUCGCCGUCCGCCACGAUCUCUACCCGCUGCUCCGCCGCAAGUGCGCCCGCCUCGACCUUCUCGUCAGGGUAGGCCAGUUUAUUGAGUCAGUGAAGAUAGAGCUAAAAGAUGACCUUGCCACUGCACCCUAUGGUGGGAGUUUGGUUAAAGCUCCCAAGGUGCUUGCGGAUAUUGUUGAGUCCAUCGCUGCUGCUGUCUACGUUGAUUGCAAAUUUGACCUUGAGAAGCUUUGGAAGGUUACAAGGUGGCUCUUUGAGCCAAUUGUCACGGCAGAAACCGUAGAUGAACAACCUGUGACUACAUUGCAUGAGUUAUGCCAGAAACAUGGCAAAGUUGCACAGUUCAAGACAUGGCAGAGGGGUGGGAUGACAGUGGUAAAUAUAUUUGUUGGUGGGGAGAUGGUUGGGUUUGGCUCCUCGGAGCAGAAGGUAAUUGCUAAGCUCAAUGCUGCACGAGAUGCGUUAGGCAAGCUUGUCGGGGGUGCAAGGCAGCAAGUGUUGAUUACUGGGGUUGGCAAUGGAUCGGCGGAUGAGAUGGAGGAGCUCAGGGAGUGUAAACAUCAACUUGCUGAUCAGUGCAUUGGAAAGAAUUGGCCAGAACCCAUCUUUAAUUUGCUUUACAGGUUGGAUAAAGAAGGUGGCCCUGCACAUGAUAGGAAGUUUGUGUGCUCUGUUCAGGUAGAAACUCAAAAUGGCACUUUUGUAACGAUAGGUGAUCCUAUGUCAAGGGUAAAGGAUGCAGAGAAUUCUGCUGCGCAGAAGAUGUUGGAACUAUUGUUGCGGUUGUGAGAUCUUUUCAUGUACAUGGCUAGACCGUAUGUAACCUCCUUUGGGAAAAAACAUAUUUUAUUCAAGCAUACAUGGUAGACCUGUGGAACUGUGGAUUAUGUCGGCUUAAUACCAUUUUUUUUUCUUGAACAAGCUUAAUACCAUUUAUACUUGAGCAUUUGUAAAACCAUGUAUUUUUAGGAUGCGUAAAUCUAGACAACAUGGUGUUAGGUAACGUUUACUAUUUGGGAAACUUGCUUGACUAAUGAAACCAAUUGGAUAACUGUUUUAUAUUGCAAUAUCCAGUGUUGAUUGUUUUGUGGAUUUUGUUUGGAUCAUUUCAAAGAGAAAAAUACUUUAUUCUGCAGGGAAAGGACAUUGAGUCUUACCUUGUUUUUCUUGGGAAAAAAAGGGGUUUGGUGUGCUAGCUGUUCUUAUACUUUAUUCCUUAGUGAAGAUUCAAAUAGGCUGUGUGCAACCAAUGAUCUUUUUUGAAGAUUUCCUUGAGCUUUUGAGGAUUGUAUAGCUAGAUUGUCUUGAACAGUAUUUUCAUUAUAUUAUAUUUCAUAUAUAUUUUAUACUAGUAAUUAGUGGUUGAUGCAGUGUGUUGAUGGUCGCCUUAAUGCCCAAAAAUGACACUUCUGUGGUUGCAAUAUUUUGAAGGAAACUGUGUUUGUCAUGUUGAGUUGACUGUUAAUGCAGGGUGAUACUGUCAAUUAUUCAUUUGGGAAAUUUGUCUAGGGCACAUUACAUUUCCGUGACUUUGUCUGCAGGACACUAUAUUUUUUGUCUGUUGGACACUUGUUUUUUGUCCUACUGUCAAGAUUUUUUUUUUCAUUGUCCAACUGACAGUUAUUCAUUUUGGUUUCUCUAGCAUAUUCACUGUUGCAUGCUAUAUUUAUGUUUGUUUGGUGUACUUCCACAUUUUCUUUUUUUUGCUAGUGUAGUUUCACGCUGUCUUUUGUUCGUAUUAUAAAAUUUCUUUUCUAUUUAAAAAUAUCUGAUAUGUGUCACGCCAACUGUGUCCCACUUGUUUUAGCAUAAAUGUAACUUGCACAAUUUACUGGAAACAAUAGCGUUCCACUUGGUCAGGUAAUCCUGAAAGUUGGUUGCAAUAAUGCAAUGUGCCUUCCGGUGAUGCCAGCUGCUGUUUCCCUGCGGUGUUGGGAGUAUUGGUGUGUCCAAGUUUGUUAUGUCCGAAAGAAAUAGGUAUCCAUAAUCUCUAAAUAGUAGUCUUAAGUUCAUGUGUUUUUAGAACUUAAACUUAAGUAUGUAUUAAAUUCUAAUUUGAAUGAACUGAUUUUUUCCAAGAGUAUUUCAUUUGAAUGCCUUAAGAUAUGACUUGGUUUUGAAUUAUUUGCAAUGAUUGGACUCAUUCUAACCUUGCUCUGAUUAGAUUUUCAUGCAAUAAUGUUUUGGACGACAAUUGAGAUAAAAUAUGUUGGUGGUGUGGCGUGAGGAGCGUGGAGUGUGUAACAGUUGGUAAACAUUUAUUACAGCUUUAUUAAGGUUUCAUCAUUGCUUGUAUAAUUGUAUAAUAAGCUCAUAGUUCAUUGUUUACUGCUAUUAUAUCUGAUAUGGCAUCUCUACAUGCAGCAUUCUGUUUCAAAGUUACUAGGGUGCAUGUAAAUCUACAUUUUCGAAACUUCCCAAAUUAGCAAUCUUUUUUUCCAUUCUUUUCAGGCAUAUUUCUCAGGAUGCAUGGAUAGUCCGUAAGAUGAGAUGGGACAGUUGCCUGUUGAGAUCUUACAAUAGGCAAUUGAAGUCAAAUGUGGAGGAUACAUAGAAAACCUACGAAGAUGUUGGAACUUGAGAAAAGAUUAUCCUUUUCAUUAUCAGUGUGGAAGUUUGGAGAUUUGAAGAUUAGAUACAAACAAGAAUCUCCUCUUGUACUGCAUGGAAUCACUUCUAUGCUUGAAGGUGGAGAUAAGAUUAAAAAAUUGGAUGGACAUGAAGCCGAAAGGCAACUUUUCAUUAUUGUUUUGACUUGUGGAGCUAGCUUAAAAGAAAGUGUUGAUAUACUCUGUAUACAUCACCACAAUUGGCAAUUAUCUGAGUUCACGUUCGGGUA
Panicum hallii is the source of this 4095-nucleotide RNA transcript. It is a transcript of the gene named ribonuclease 3-like protein 2, with no coding region annotated. The transcript is spliced from 6 exons. The record is from RefSeq and is a predicted model, not a curated record. Lineage: Eukaryota; Viridiplantae; Streptophyta; Magnoliopsida; Poales; Poaceae.